This is a non-coding RNA of Candidatus Woesearchaeota archaeon CG1_02_57_44, 85 nucleotides long. NCBI's taxonomy places the organism in Archaea, Nanobdellati, Candidatus Woesearchaeota. The record is from Rfam.
GCCGCGGUGGCAGAAUCUGGUUAAUGCGCCAGCCUUGAGAGCUGGUGGCCGCAAGGCCUUUCCGGUUCAAAUCCGGACCGCGGCG